CCAAAAUAAAUAGCAUUUCUUUAAUACAUAUCACUCUGAAUCAAUAAAAUGAUAGAUAAAUUAUGUGUGUGAUUGGUUUGUCUGUAACUGUAGAUUUUUUACUGUAAAAUUUUUGCUGUAUGUGUGAUGGUGGUAGCUGUAGAUUUUAUUGCUGUAGAAAUUAGGCUGUAGGUUUUAUUAAUUUAAUAUUAUUAUUUGAAGAAAUUGGUUGUAGAAAUAAGAUUAUGGUUGUAUGUAUUUUUAAACA
Molecule: small RNA, 247 nt
Filed under: Arabidopsis thaliana (thale cress)
Lineage: Eukaryota; Viridiplantae; Streptophyta; Magnoliopsida; Brassicales; Brassicaceae
Description: ATSL146730
Source: RNAcentral